Beta vulgaris subsp. vulgaris (sugar beet) is the source of this 2815-nucleotide long non-coding RNA. RefSeq lists it as uncharacterized. The transcript has 10 exons. Lineage: Eukaryota; Viridiplantae; Streptophyta; Magnoliopsida; Caryophyllales; Amaranthaceae. The record is from RefSeq and is a predicted model, not a curated record.
CUAACAUACGCGUCAUUAUACGCGUAUAAUAGACAUAACAGAAAUAAAACAGCUAACAUACGCGUCAUUGUACGCGUAUAAUAGACUUGACAGAAAUAAAACAGCUAACAUACGCGUCAUUUGACGCGUAUUAUAGCAAAUAUUAACCAUCAUAACCCACACAUAGAAGACGCAAAUUCUCUCAAAGAAAUUCCAUUUCUUAAUUUUCUGGGUGUUCCUCUAAAUUUCUUGUUUUGAUUUUCGAAAAAGAGGAAAUUCUGAAGCAAUGAUAAAGUUUAUUAUGAUAAUAAACAGUAAUGGGGAUAAAAUUGAUCGAUUUCACAUAUUUCUCUCAAACGUGAUUAUAGUAGUAUUUGUUGGGCGAAGAUUUUAUGGAAUUUGGAAGAUAGUGAGGGGUAAACUUCAUUAUAAGGAGUCAAUUAUGUUCAAGCCUAACAAAAUUAACUAUUUUAAGACUAUACAUUUAAGACGGUUUAAUUUUUAACUUGUUCUUCAUGGGAUGAGGCUGCAGUUAGUUAUGUUCAAUCAUUCCCUGCUCUUAUUGACUGAAUGUAGCACUGAUUACUUCAUCAGGAAUUUAUGGAAGUGAUGACAAUUCGAUAGUGAAGUGGGGGAAAAUGGGCGCUUCAGUUCACAGAACUUCAUGGGCAGAGUUCAAUCAUGACCUGCUCUUCUCGACUGAAUGAGGCACUGAUUACUUAAUGAACCUCCUGUCGAAAUUUUGAAAUAUCAAGUAUCAUAGUCAUGUUCAGUGUUGUGGUUUACGAGGAUAAAGUUUCUGUCUUUGAUACUGGCUCUGGGAUGGAUGGAAGUGAUGAGAAUUCGAUAGUGAAGUGGGGGGAAAUGGGUGCUUCAGUUCACAGACUUGCGAUUGGAGGAAAACCUCGAUAUCUCACGAUUAUCCAACCUAGUAGCAAUCAUAUGUAGAGACUCACAUAUUCUGCAGUAGACAAAGCUAAGCUAUCUUUGGAAAUAUAGAUUAGUGUCUUCACUUAGUUGAGAGACUGCUCUUGGAAAGAGAAUCUAUUUGCCUUUAAUUCCAAGGAGCUUUAUUUUUGAAGCAAACAAAACUACUCUUGGAAAUAGUUUCAUAAAACCAAUACUUUUCAUGAAUUAUGUACAUGGAUUCUUUUGAGGAAGGUGGAUCUUUUGAAUAUUAAAGUUGAGCAUUUACUCAUUUAGUCUAUGUCGUAACCUGAAAGUUAGAUUUAUAACUUUGAGGUUUAUCUGGGCCAUUGUUUAGCUGUGACUUCUUUUUGUUACAUGCUUUCCUUUUUCUUAUUUUGCAGCCUUUUUUUUGGGAUAUAUGGCUAUGGUGGAACUAUUAGGGAUGUAUGAUAAUUACUUCUCCUGCUCUCCUUAUUGUUGAGCAUGGAAUCUCAUUUUUGGCAAUUUUUCUGAAUUCUGUGUCCUAUGCUAGGCAUGCUAUAGUAUCUGCAAAGAUUAAACAGUCUAAGAAAGUUUACUGGCUUCCUUUAAGGAAGGGAUGCGCUAUUAAGGCGGUCUGGGACUGAUCUUAACUAGAAGGCUGCGAGUGGACUUCAAGAUUCAUCAGACAGAGAGAUUGAACUGUCCCCUCAUAUAUGAGAUAGUAAUAGAGGCCCUCCAUACCAUAGGAUUUUAAGUUGCUUGCUUAUCUGGUGAACCUUUUGUCCUUCUCUUACUCUUUCUUCUGUUAUUGAAGAUUCAACCCUAGUAACCAAUGUAGCGAAAGAUAGCAUCCUGAUGCUAUCUCUCCAAAUUGUUGCAUGUGCUAUGUUUGAAAGGUAAUGUGGUUGCUCACGCAUAUUUUCCAUAGGGGAAGGAACAAACAAUGUAGUGAACUUGGAGGAGGUUCUUUGGCAAUUUCCUGAUCUCUUUGCUCUCUAAGUAUAAUCUCCUUGGGCUCUAACAAGUCAAGAAGAAGUGAUCUUGUUCAACUCAACAUUUAGUCUCCUUUUUUUGGGUGGUGAUGUGGGGGGAUAAGUUAGUAUCACUAGUCGAACUCUAUUAACUUUAGAGGAAGCAGUGUGAUAUGGUGAAAUCAGAGUGAUUAAAUCGUGAAAACAUCUUUCAUGAUAGGUUUUACUACUUUGGUGAUAAGACUAUAUAUCCCUUGACCUUCAAGAUGCCACCAGCCUCAAUGAGUAAACGUUGUUGUGGCCGUAUAUGACUUAUGUGAUAGUGCGAUCAAUCAAAAGCACGACAAUAUGGCAAUCACCUUGAAAGAAAGCAUCAAAGUAACUUCUUUUCCUAAAAUCUAUGAGGACAAGAAUACUAGAGGAUUCAAUGAAAGAGAUUUAUAAAUGAUUUUGUUGAUUGUCAGAAAUGAUGCAUUCAUAAAUUGGAGUGGUACAAAUGGAGUACUCUGCCACAGCCAUAGUAGAACAACUAAGAAUCGAAAACUUAGAUGAAGGGCCAGGUGUUGCCCAGUGUUUGGGAGAAUUGUAUCGUCUUUUUGGUAAGAAGAUCACAUCUGGGUUCUCCGAAACAACAAGUAUUGCCUCAAAACUUAUGAAGUCUCACGAGGAGUAUGUGAGAAAAGAGGCUCUUCACAUGCUUCAGAAUGCUAUGGAGGGUUGUGGUGGUGUUGCUGCUGCUACAGCAUGUACAGAGGCAUUUCGACUCAUCAUGCGGUUUGGUGUUGUUGAUAAGUCAUCUAUCGUCAGAAUUGCUGCUGCUAGAUGUUUAAAGACAUUUUGCUAAUGUGGGGGACCUGGUUUAGGGGGUGCAGACCUUGACAGUUCAGCCUCUACUUGUGUCAAGCAGUCCGUGAUGCCUUUGCUGAAGCGUUGGGUGCAGUUCUUGCUCUUGGAAUGAAUCCUGAGGCUCAGGU